Molecule: ribosomal RNA, 253 nt
Filed under: uncultured bacterium
Lineage: Bacteria
Description: partial 16S ribosomal RNA
Rfam family: Bacterial small subunit ribosomal RNA
Source: RNAcentral
UACGGAGGGUGCAAGCGUUGUUCGGAUUCAUUGGGCGUAAAGGGUGCGUAGGUGGCGCGGUAAGUCGGGUGUGAAAUUUCGGAGCUUAACUCCGAAACUGCAUUCGAUACUGCCGUGCUUGAGGACUGGAGAGGAGACUGGAAUUUACGGUGUAGCGGUGAAAUGCGUAGAUAUCGUAAGGAACACCAGCGGCGAAGGCGGCAUCCUGGCCCUGACCUGACGCUGAGGCGCGAGAGCGUGGGGAGCAAACCGG